CAUUAUAGAGUUUUCUAAACUCCCAACCCAUGGUGAACUUACCAUUGUUGCCUCGGCAGAAGCUGCUCGGUACCCUGGAACGGCUUACCCUGCAACGGCUGCCGGUGGACUACUAAACUCUUGUUAUUUUAUUGUAAUCUGAGCGUCUUAUUUUAAUAAGUCAAAACUUUCAACAACGGAUCUCUUGGUUCUGGCAUCGAUGAAGAACGCAGCGAAAUGCGAUAAGUAAUGUGAAUUGCAGAAUUCAGUGAAUCAUCGAAUCUUUGAACGCACAUUGCGCCCAUUAGUAUUCUAGUGGGCAUGCCUGUUCGAGCGUCAUUUCAACCCUUAAGCCUAGCUUAGUGUUGGGAGCCUACUGCUUUUACUAGCUGUAGCUCCUGAAAUACAACGGCGGAUCUGCGAUAUCCUCUGAGCGUAGUAAUUUUUAUCUCGCUUUUGACUGGAGUUGCAGCGUCUUUAGCCGCUAAACCCCCCAAUUUUUAAUGGUUGACCUCGG
This 496-nucleotide ribosomal RNA is filed under the name Pestalotiopsis cf. microspora ROG-2010. Its description in RNAcentral is "eukaryotic LSU rRNA". The stretch from base 165 to 318 matches the Rfam family "5.8S ribosomal RNA". Lineage: Eukaryota; Fungi; Ascomycota; Sordariomycetes; Amphisphaeriales; Sporocadaceae. The record is from RNAcentral.